CCUUAACGAGGAUCAAUUGGAGGGCAAGUCUGGUGCCAGCAGCCGCGGUAAUUCCAGCUCCAAUAGCGUAUAUUUAAGUUGCUGCAGUUAAAAAGCUCGUAGUUGGAUUUCGGGUGGGGCCUGCCGGUCCGCCGUUUCGGUGUGCACUGGCAGGGCCCACCUUGUUGCCGGGGACGGGCUCCUGGGCUUCACUGUCCGGGACUCGAGUCGGCGCUGUUACUUUGAGUAAAUUAGAGUGUUCAAAGCAGGCCUACGCUCUGAAUACAUUAGCAUGGAAUACACGAUAGGACUCUGGCCUAUCCUGUUGGUCUGUAGGACCGGAGUAAUGAUUAAGAGGGACAGUCGGGGCAUUCGUAUUUCAUUGUCAGAGGUGAAAUUCUUGGAUUUAUGAAAGACGAACUACUGCGAAAGCAUUUG
RNAcentral lists this ribosomal RNA (417 nucleotides) under Chlorella sorokiniana. Its description in RNAcentral is "SSU rRNA". It matches the Rfam family "Eukaryotic small subunit ribosomal RNA", at positions 532 to 957 of the family's 1831-position model. The record is from RNAcentral. Lineage: Eukaryota; Viridiplantae; Chlorophyta; Trebouxiophyceae; Chlorellales; Chlorellaceae.